CCUACGGGGUGCAGCAGUGGGGAAUAUUGGACAAUGGGCGAAAGCCUGAUCCAGCCAUGCCGCGUGUGUGAAGAAGGCCUUCGGGUUGUAAAGCACUUUCAGUGGGGAAGAAAGCCUUGGGGCUAAUACCCUCGAGGAAGGACAUCACCCACAGAAGAAGCACCGGCUAACUCCGUGCCAGCAGCCGCGGUAAUACGGAGGGUGCGAGCGUUAAUCGGAAUUACUGGGCGUAAAGAGCGCGUAGGCGGUCUGAUAAGCCGGUUGUGAAAGCCCCGGGCUCAACCUGGGAACGGCAUCCGGAACUGGCAGGCUAGAGUGCAGGAGAGGAAGGUAGAAUUCCCGGUGUAGCGGUGAAAUGCGUAGAGAUCGGGAGGAAUACCAGUGGCGAAGGCGGCCUUCUGGACUGACACUGACGCUGAGGUGCGAAAGCGUGGGUAGCAAACAGGAUUAGAUACCCGGGUAGUC
RNAcentral lists this ribosomal RNA (465 nucleotides) under Vreelandella stevensii. RNAcentral's name for it is "partial 16S ribosomal RNA". It matches the Rfam family "Bacterial small subunit ribosomal RNA", at positions 338 to 795 of the family's 1533-position model. The record is from RNAcentral. Lineage: Bacteria; Pseudomonadati; Pseudomonadota; Gammaproteobacteria; Oceanospirillales; Halomonadaceae.